Molecule: ribosomal RNA, 253 nt
Filed under: uncultured bacterium
Lineage: Bacteria
Description: partial 16S ribosomal RNA
Rfam family: Bacterial small subunit ribosomal RNA
Source: RNAcentral
UACGGAGGAUCCGAGCGUUAUCCGGAUUUAUUGGGUUUAAAGGGAGCGUAGGUGGAUUGUUAAGUCAGUUGUGAAAGUUUGCGGCUCAACCGUAAAAUUGCAGUUGAAACUGGCAGUCUUGAGUACAGUAGAGGUGGGCGGAAUUCGUGGUGUAGCGGUGAAAUGCUUAGAUAUCACGAAGAACUCCGGUUGCGAAGGCAGCUCACUGGACUGCAACUGACACUGAGGCUCGAAAGUGUGGGUAUCAAACAGG